Molecule: transfer RNA, 69 nt
Filed under: Ictidomys tridecemlineatus (thirteen-lined ground squirrel)
Lineage: Eukaryota; Metazoa; Chordata; Mammalia; Rodentia; Sciuridae
Description: Spermophilus tridecemlineatus (thirteen-lined ground squirrel) tRNA
Rfam family: tRNA
About the family: Transfer RNA (tRNA) molecules are approximately 80 nucleotides in length. Their secondary structure includes four short double-helical elements and three loops (D, anti-codon, and T loops). Further hydrogen bonds mediate the characteristic L-shaped molecular structure. tRNAs have two regions of fundamental functional importance: the anti-codon, which is responsible for specific mRNA codon recognition, and the 3' end, to which the tRNAs corresponding amino acid is attached (by aminoacyl-tRNA synthetases). tRNAs cope with the degeneracy of the genetic code in two manners: having more than one tRNA (with a specific anti-codon) for a particular amino acid; and 'wobble' base-pairing, i.e. permitting non-standard base-pairing at the 3rd anti-codon position.
Source: Rfam by way of RNAcentral
GGGGUUGUGGCUCAGAGGUAGAGCGCUUGCCUAGCAUGUGUGAGGUCCUGGGUUCGAUUCUCAGCACCA